UGUAGGGUACGGAAACAACAACUGACAGAUAGAAAGCAGGACAAUAUACAGGCGAGCCACUGGUCUUUGAUCUAAGAGAACUCACUUGCCAUAGAUGGAAGUACAAAUUAUCACAGCGGUAUGGCAAGGUCACGGCCAAAGACAUAACGCUCCGACUUGUGCUUAACCAUCCGGAGCCGAGCCUCCCCAUGCUUUAACACUUCGACGCCCUCAAGAACAGCAAGAUUCUUUCUUUCCUCAAGGGCAUGGCCAGACAUAUCCUCAAUGCUCUCCUCUGGCCUAGUAAGAAAGAACCUGGCAAUGCAGACUUUACCGGAUCCUAGCGGCACAAUGCUGGCAUCUCUCAGUCUCCAAUCUUCUGGCCUGUUCACAUCUGUCCACACAUUCUGCAGCAUGGGCGGCCACAAUUCACAUGAGGUAGUGAGGUCUGCUGUGCAGAGCUGCAAAUCGUUGGGUGUGAAGCCAAACCAGAGGUUGUGCUCAGGGAUGUACUCAGCACGACCUCUGAAGGGCAAUGCCCAGUUGCCUACUUUGCUCCAUGCGUCACUCACGGUGUCAUACAAGUAUGUGCCAGCGGCAAAUGUAGAUAUCCAGAUCUGUGAAUCGCCAACCACAGUGUAGGCGCUGAUUUUAAAGGGCAUUAAGACGUCGCAGCCGCUGGAUUCCACUUCCACCCCAUCGGCAAAGAGAGGCGGUGGCUGGAGGGAAUACCAGCACCAGUUUUUGGUGUUGCUAGCACUAGAAAGCGGGCGGCUGUCGAUGAGAGCCUGGAAGCAGUGCUGAUCCGGCCGCGGGCCAGGGUUGCGGCUCAUGACGUAUAGGCUGUCGCCCACGGCAAUGGAGAUGGGGUCGAUAAUGGGCCUGCACAUCUUGGGCAUUCNNNNNNNNNNNNNNNNNGCAUUCCUGUGCGGAGCAAACGAGAGUCAUGGUUGUACAAGAUGGUCCUACCGAUUUGGUCCACGGCGAGAAGAUUGUCCCGGUUGAGGCCGAAAGCCAUGAAAUUCAUCCACGCCAGUUCCCCAUUGUUGGAUGGCCAGCCGAAUGACAGAGAUGGGGGAGGCAGCGGAGCGUCCGCUAACGGUUGAACUGCUCGAACCGCUGACCGGGUUGGGCGAAAUAAGUUUUCCGGAUUCAUACAGUGAAGGCUGAAGUAGCUGGGGCCGCCGUAGCUCCUAGCCAACAGAUUCACAAACCGGCUAC
This 1200-nucleotide long non-coding RNA is filed under the name Hordeum vulgare. RNAcentral's name for it is "long non-coding RNA (HVUL_LNC012981)". The record is from RNAcentral. Lineage: Eukaryota; Viridiplantae; Streptophyta; Magnoliopsida; Poales; Poaceae.